GGCCUGCGGAAGGAUCAUUG
This 20-nucleotide ribosomal RNA is filed under the name Leucobryum boninense. RNAcentral describes it as "partial 18S rRNA". The record is from RNAcentral. Lineage: Eukaryota; Viridiplantae; Streptophyta; Bryopsida; Dicranales; Leucobryaceae.